This 253-nucleotide ribosomal RNA is filed under the name uncultured prokaryote. RNAcentral's name for it is "partial 16S ribosomal RNA". It matches the Rfam family "Bacterial small subunit ribosomal RNA", at positions 524 to 776 of the family's 1533-position model. The record is from RNAcentral.
GACAGAGGGGGCAAGCGUUGCUCGGAAUCACUGGGCGUAAAGGGCGCGUAGGCGGUUUGUCGCGUCGGCCGUGAGAUCUCCACGCUUAACGUGGAGCGUGCGGUCGAUACGGGCAGACUUGAGUUCGGUAGGGGAGACUGGAAUUCCUGGUGUAGCGGUGAAAUGCGCAGAUAUCAGGAGGAACACCGGUGGCGAAGGCGGGUCUCUGGGCCGAUACUGACGCUGAGGAGCGAAAGCGUGGGGAGCGAACAGC